RNAcentral lists this ribosomal RNA (615 nucleotides) under Bacillus sp. NCIM5199. Its description in RNAcentral is "bacterial SSU rRNA". It matches the Rfam family "Bacterial small subunit ribosomal RNA", at positions 194 to 794 of the family's 1533-position model. Lineage: Bacteria; Bacillati; Bacillota; Bacilli; Caryophanales; Bacillaceae. The record is from RNAcentral.
UCAAACAUAAAAGGUGGCUUCGGCUACCACUUACAGAUGGACCCGCGGCGCAUUAGCUAGUUGGUGAGGUAAUGGCUCACCAAGGCGACGAUGCGUAGCCGACCCUGAGAGGGUGAUCGGCCACACUGGGACUGAGACACGGCCCAGACUCCUACGGAGGCAGCAGUAGGGAAUCUUCCGCAAUGGACGAAAGUCUGACGGAGCAACGCCGCGUGAGUGAUGAAGGUUUUCGGAUCGUAAAGCUCUGUUGUUAGGGAAGAACAAGUAUCGUUCGAAUAGGGCGGUACCUUGACGGUACCUAACCAGAAAGCCACGGCUAACUACGUGCCAGCAGCCGCGGUAAUACGUAGGUGGCAAGCGUUGUCCGGAAUUAUUGGGCGUAAAGGGCUCGCAGGCGGUUUCUUAAGUCUGAUGUGAAAGCCCCCGGCUCAACCGGGGAGGGUCAUUGGAAACUGGGGAACUUGAGUGCAGAAGAGGAGAGUGGAAUUCCACGUGUAGCGGUGAAAUGCGUAGAGAUGUGGAGGAACACCAGUGGCGAAGGCGACUCUCUGGUCUGUAACUGACGCUGAGGAGCGAAAGCGUGGGGAGCGAAGCAGGAUUAGAUACCCUGGUAGU